RNAcentral lists this ribosomal RNA (524 nucleotides) under uncultured bacterium. RNAcentral describes it as "bacterial SSU rRNA". It matches the Rfam family "Bacterial small subunit ribosomal RNA", at positions 355 to 896 of the family's 1533-position model. The record is from RNAcentral.
UGGGGAAUAUUGGACAAUGGGGGAAACCCUGAUCCAGCCAUGCCGCGUGAGUGAUGAAGGCCUUAGGGUUGUAAAGCUCUUUCAGCGGGGAAGAUGAUGACGGUACCCGCAGAAGAAGCCCCGGCUAACUUCGUGCCAGCAGCCGCGGUAAUACGAAGGGGGCUAGCGUUGUUCGGAAUUACUGGGCGUAAAGCGUGCGUAGGUGGUUUGUUAAGUCAGGUGUGAAAUCCUCGGGCUCAACCCGGGAACUGCGCUUGAUACUGGCAGACUCGAGUGUGGUAGAGGAUAGUGGAAUUCCCGGUGUAGCGGUGAAAUGCGUAGAUAUCGGGAGGAACAUCAGUGGCGAAGGCGGCUAUCUGGACCAACACUGACACUGAGGUACGAAAGCGUGGGUAGCAAACAGGAUUAGAUACCCUGGUAGUCCACGCCCUAAACGAUGGGUACUAGACGUCGGGAAGCUUGUCUUCUUGGUGUCGCAGCUAACGCAAUAAGUACCCCGCCUGGGGAGUACGGUCGCAAGAUUA